This 500-nucleotide ribosomal RNA is filed under the name uncultured bacterium. Its description in RNAcentral is "partial 16S ribosomal RNA". It matches the Rfam family "Bacterial small subunit ribosomal RNA", at positions 29 to 523 of the family's 1533-position model. The record is from RNAcentral.
AUUGAACGCUGGCGGCAUGCCUUACACAUGCAAGUCGAGCGGCAGCGCGCGGGCAACCCUGGCGGCGAGCGGCGGACGGGUGAGUAAUACAUCGGAACGUGUCCUUUCGUGGGGGAUAACCAGUCGAAAGACCGGCUAAUACCGCAUGAGAUCUCACGAUGAAAGCGGGGGACCGCCAGGCCUCGCGCGAUUGGAGCGGCCGAGGUCGGAUGAGCUAGGUGGCGGGGUAAAAGCCCACCAAGGCGACGAUCCGUAGCUGGUUUGAGAGAACGACCAGCCACACUGGGACUGAGACACGGCCCAGACUCCUACGGGAGGCAGCAGUGGGGAAUUUUGGACAAUGGGGGCAACCCUGAUCCAGCCAUGCCGCGUGUGUGAAGAAGGCCUUCGGGUUGUAAAGCACUUUCGGCCGGAACGAAAUCGCGCGGAUUAAUAACCCGCGUGGAUGACGGUACCGGAAGAAGAAGCACCGGCUAACUACGUGCCAGCCGCCGCCGUAA